GCGGGUAUAGUUUAGUGGUAAAACUCUAGCCUUCCAAGCUAAUGAUGCGGGUUCGAUUCCCGCUACCCGCCUAU
This 74-nucleotide transfer RNA is filed under the name Aphyllon epigalium subsp. notocalifornicum. RNAcentral describes it as "tRNA-Gly". It matches the Rfam family "tRNA". Rfam says of the family: Transfer RNA (tRNA) molecules are approximately 80 nucleotides in length. Their secondary structure includes four short double-helical elements and three loops (D, anti-codon, and T loops). Lineage: Eukaryota; Viridiplantae; Streptophyta; Magnoliopsida; Lamiales; Orobanchaceae. The record is from RNAcentral.